Molecule: ribosomal RNA, 274 nt
Filed under: uncultured bacterium
Lineage: Bacteria
Description: partial 16S ribosomal RNA
Rfam family: Bacterial small subunit ribosomal RNA
Source: RNAcentral
AUACGGAGGGUGCAAGCGUUAUUCGGAAUCACUGGGCGUAAAGGACGCGUAGGCGGGUUGGCAAGUCAGAUGUGAAAUCCUACAGCUUAACUGUAGAACUGCAUUUGAAACUGCCGACCUAGAGUAUGGGAGGGGGAGAUGGAAUUAGUGGUGUAGGGGUAAAAUCCGUAGAUAUCACUAGGAAUACCGAAAGCGAAGGCGAUCUCCUGGAACAUAACUGACGCUAAGGCGUGAAAGCGUGGGGAGCAAACAGGAUUAGAAACCCCAGUAGUCC